RNAcentral lists this ribosomal RNA (810 nucleotides) under uncultured Comamonadaceae bacterium. RNAcentral describes it as "bacterial SSU rRNA". It matches the Rfam family "Bacterial small subunit ribosomal RNA", at positions 57 to 866 of the family's 1533-position model. The record is from RNAcentral. Lineage: Bacteria; Pseudomonadati; Pseudomonadota; Betaproteobacteria; Burkholderiales; Comamonadaceae.
GCAAGUCGAACGGUAGAGGGGGCAACCCCUCGAGAGUGGCGAACGGCGUGAGUAAUAUAUCGGAACGUGCCCAGUCGUGGGGGAUAACGUAGCGAAAGUUACGCUAAUACCGCAUACGAUCUACGGAUGAAAGCGGGGGAUCGCAAGACCUCGCGCGAUUGGAGCGGCCGAUAUCAGAUUAGGUAGUUGGUGGGGUAAAGGCUCACCAAGCCAACGAUCUGUAGCUGGUCUGAGAGGACGACCAGCCACACUGGAACUGAGACACGGUCCAGACUCCUACGGGAGGCAGCAGUGGGGAAUUUUGGACAAUGGACGCAAGUCUGAUCCAGCCAUUCCGCGUGCAGGAUGAAGGCCCUCGGGUUGUAAACUGCUUUUGUACGGAACGAAAAGGUCUCUCCUAAUACGAGGGGCUCAUGACGGUACCGUAAGAAUAAGCACCGGCUAACUACGUGCCAGCAGCCGCGGUAAUACGUAGGGUGCAAGCGUUAAUCGGAAUUACUGGGCGUAAAGCGUGCGCAGGCGGUUAUGUAAGACAGAGGUGAAAUCCCCGGGCUCAACCUGGGAACGGCCUUUGUGACUGCAUAGCUAGAGUACGGUAGAGGGGGAUGGAAUUCCGCGUGUAGCAGUGAAAUGCGUAGAUAUGCGGAGGAACACCGAUGGCGAAGGCAAUCCCCUGGACCUGUACUGACGCUCAUGCACGAAAGCGUGGGGAGCAAACAGGAUUAGAUACCCUGGUAGUCCACGCCCUAAACGAUGUCAACUGGUUGUUGGGGUCUCACUGACUCAGUAACGAAGCUAACGCGUGAAGUU